UACGGAGGGAGCUAGCGUUGUUCGGAAUUACUGGGCGUAAAGCGCACGUAGGCGGCUUUGUAAGUCAGAGGUGAAAGCCUGGAGCUCAACUCCAGAAUUGCCUUUGAGACUGCAUCGCUUGAAUCCAGGAGAGGUGAGUGGAACUCCGAGUGUAGAGGUGAAAUUCGUAGAUAUUCGGAAGAACACCAGUGGCGAAGGCGGCUCACUGGCCCGGUACUGACGCUCAGGUGCGAAAGCGUGGGGAGCAAACAGG
RNAcentral lists this ribosomal RNA (253 nucleotides) under uncultured bacterium. Its description in RNAcentral is "partial 16S ribosomal RNA". It matches the Rfam family "Bacterial small subunit ribosomal RNA", at positions 524 to 776 of the family's 1533-position model. The record is from RNAcentral.